RNAcentral lists this transfer RNA (72 nucleotides) under Anguilla anguilla (European eel). Its description in RNAcentral is "tRNA-OTHER". Lineage: Eukaryota; Metazoa; Chordata; Actinopteri; Anguilliformes; Anguillidae. The record is from RNAcentral.
GGCUGUGUAGCAUGAUGGGUAAGGAGUUGGUCUGGUAAACUAAAGGUCACAGGUUCGAUUCCAGGUAGGACA